GACGAACCGUGCGAACGUUAUUCGGAAUCACUGGGCUUAAAGCGCGCGUAGGCGGAUGGGAACGUCGGUCGUUGAAAUCCCCCGGCUCAACCGGGGAAUGGGCGCCGAAACGACCCGUCUGGAGGGACGUAGGGGGACCUGGAACUUCCGGUGGAGCGGUGAAAUGCGUUGAGAUCGGAAGGAACGCCCGUGGCGAAAGCGAGGUCCUGGACGUCUACUGACGCUGAGACGCGAAAGCUAGGGUAGCGAACGGG
RNAcentral lists this ribosomal RNA (254 nucleotides) under uncultured bacterium. RNAcentral describes it as "partial 16S ribosomal RNA". It matches the Rfam family "Bacterial small subunit ribosomal RNA", at positions 524 to 776 of the family's 1533-position model. The record is from RNAcentral.